GUCGGGUACGGCGAUAUGGCUCCGAAAACGUACGUGGGAAUGUUCGUUGGUGCAUUGUGUGCGCUUGCCGGUGUAUUGACGAUCGCCCUGCCCGUGCCCGUUAUCGUCAGUAAC
Anopheles farauti is the source of this 114-nucleotide non-coding RNA. The record is from Rfam. Lineage: Eukaryota; Metazoa; Arthropoda; Insecta; Diptera; Culicidae.